GAANUCCGAUUGCGAAGGCAGCUUGCUGGACUGUAACUGACGCUGAGGCACGAAAACGUGGGGAUCAAACAGGAUUAGAUACCCUGGUAGNCCACGCCGUAAACGAUGAAUGCUAGCUGUUAGCGAUAUACUGUUAGCGGCACAGAGAAAUCGUUAAGCNUUCCACCUGGGGAGUACGCCGGCAACGGUGAAACUCAAAGGAAUUGACGGGGGCCCGCACAAGCGGAGGAACAUGUGGUUUAAUUCGAUGAUACGCGAGGAACCUUACCUGGGCUUAAAUUGCAGUGGAAUAACGUGGAAACAUGUUAGCCUUCGGGCCGCUGUGAAGGUGCUGCAUGGUUGUCGUCAGCUCGUGCCGUGAGGUGUCGGCUUAAGUGCCAUAACGAGCGCAACCCUCAUCGAUAGUUACUAACAGGUUAAGCUGAGGACUCUAUCGAGACUGCCGACGUAAGUCGUGAGGAAGGUGGGGAUGACGUCAAAUCAGCACGGCCCUUACGUCCAGGGCUACACACGUGUUACAAUGGGGGGUACAAAGGGCAGCUACCUGGCGACAGGAUGCUAAUCUCAAAAACCUCUCUCAGUUCGGAUUGGAGUCUGCAACCCGACUCCAUGAAGCUGGAUUCGCUAGUAAUCGCGCAUCAGCCACGGCGCGGUGAAUACGUUCCCGGGCCUUGUACACACCGCCCGUCAAGCCAUGGGAGCCGGGGGGACCUGAAGUAUGCAACCGUAAGGAGCGUCCUAGGGUAAAACUGGUGACUGGGGCU
This 764-nucleotide ribosomal RNA is filed under the name uncultured prokaryote. RNAcentral's name for it is "bacterial SSU rRNA". It matches the Rfam family "Bacterial small subunit ribosomal RNA", at positions 704 to 1482 of the family's 1533-position model. The record is from RNAcentral.